Molecule: long non-coding RNA, 696 nt
Organism: Daphnia carinata
Lineage: Eukaryota; Metazoa; Arthropoda; Branchiopoda; Diplostraca; Daphniidae
Exons: 3
Source: RefSeq, a predicted model, not a curated record
GGAGGCGAAAAACGCGAUACGCGGGAACUUCAAAUCGUGGUGAUCAAUAUAAGCCUUAACUGGAAUCAAGUUAGGAUCGCAAGAAUGAUUGAUGAAGCGGGCUAUAUUGCCGUAACGCCGGGCGUCAAUGCAGUAUGUUUCUCCAUCCUUUAGGAAGUAUUGUAAAAAAAUUCUUUUAAGCUCUUCGUGAUUUCCGUAGUUCUCUAUUCAUGCAAUUACCUUAUUAUCCAAAUCGAAAAGAUAAGAAUCAUCUUCACGUUGGUCAGCUUCAAAGUCAGUGAUGAUUUCUCCAAUGUACCUAGCAAACGACAAUAGGAAAUCAACAGUGAAUCACGUCGUCAGAAAGCUCUUCACACUUACUCGCAGACGUAGGAGCCUUUUGCAAUAGUUUGGGCGGCUCUGACUCCCCAGCCUUUGUUUUCGAUACGGAAGAGAACUAACCGUGAGGUUCUUUAAAGAAGUUUAAAAGUAUUACUAGAAUGACUUGCCUGCAAAAUUGAAGUCGGAUAGGAGUUUGCCUUCGUCGUCGUACCAGCAGCGAAAACUGAGACUCGAACAAUUGCAACCGACUGAGCAGUCCCCGACGCACUCGCAAAACUAGGUCAAAACGUCCACCUCUAGUUAUCAGAAGCAAAGCGCAUUCACAGUUGUCACGACGACUUGCAGUAUGCCUUCAGAAUGACAAACACGCAUUAA